UCCUCUUCUUGAAAUAUCCAUUCUUAUUGUUUUGGCCAGAUUACCACCGAAGUGGUUACCAUUUCUGGCAUGUUGAUUCCCUUCACGCUUAUUGUCACCGCUUCGAUGACUGUUAUCACUGGUAUUAUCAUUUUGUCGGCUACUCUCUUUUGGUUAGGUUGACUCAUUAUCGCGCUCCAAUAACUGAGCCCUAUUAACAUCUGAAUACAAACACAGUUUAUGAGAGAUAAGAUAUUAACGUAUCUCGGGUUUCAAACCUCUCAAAAAUAUUCGCGUCAUUCUCUCUUCAUUAUCAACCAAAUGAGACGCAAACCGAAACAACUCGACAAACUUGGCUUCGUACUACGACACGGUCAUAUUGUUUUGCUCCAGCUUGAUGAACUCUACCUCUUUCUUGUGACGAAUACUUUCGGAAAAGUACUUGUCGUUG
Molecule: long non-coding RNA, 430 nt
Filed under: Panax ginseng (ginseng)
Lineage: Eukaryota; Viridiplantae; Streptophyta; Magnoliopsida; Apiales; Araliaceae
Description: long non-coding RNA (PGIN_LNC017851)
Source: RNAcentral